Non-coding RNA from Oryctolagus cuniculus (rabbit), 117 nucleotides. The record is from Ensembl. Lineage: Eukaryota; Metazoa; Chordata; Mammalia; Lagomorpha; Leporidae.
GUGGCCUGCCCUUCUGCUACACAUGCUCAGGUCUGGCAGGACACACGGCGCCGUCCCUCUCAGAGUAGGAGGCCGUCUUAAGAAAGGGGCUGGCUCGAAUGGGCAUGAGAGGACAAU